UACGUAGGUGGCAAGCGUUAUCCGGAUUUACUGGGUGUAAAGGGCGUGUAGGCGGGGAAGCAAGUCAGAUGUGAAGACCACGGGCUCAACCUGUGGCCUGCAUUUGAAACUGUUUUUCUUGAGUGCUGGAGAGGCAAUCGGAAUUCCGUGUGUAGCGGUGAAAUGCGUAGAUAUACGGAGGAACACCAGUGGCGAAGGCGGAUUGCUGGACAGUAACUGACGCUGAGGCGCGAAAGCGUGGGGAGCAAACAGG
This 253-nucleotide ribosomal RNA is filed under the name uncultured bacterium. Its description in RNAcentral is "partial 16S ribosomal RNA". It matches the Rfam family "Bacterial small subunit ribosomal RNA", at positions 524 to 776 of the family's 1533-position model. The record is from RNAcentral.